GUUAUCAUGGCCGAGUGGUUAAGGCGAUGGACUUAAUAUCUUUUGGGAUCUUCCCGCGCAGGUUCGAAUCCUGCCGACAUCG
This 82-nucleotide transfer RNA is filed under the name Dreissena polymorpha. It matches the Rfam family "tRNA". Rfam says of the family: Transfer RNA (tRNA) molecules are approximately 80 nucleotides in length. Lineage: Eukaryota; Metazoa; Mollusca; Bivalvia; Myida; Dreissenidae. The record is from Rfam by way of RNAcentral.